Peromyscus maniculatus bairdii (prairie deer mouse) is the source of this 325-nucleotide non-coding RNA. The record is from RefSeq and is a predicted model, not a curated record. NCBI's taxonomy places the organism in Eukaryota, Metazoa, Chordata, Mammalia, Rodentia, Cricetidae.
UGCUCUCAAGGGCUGUCUUCGCUCCUCCAGCUCCCCCAAGGAUCUCUUGCCCCUCCAUUCAUCCGCGGAUUCCAAGAUGCCUUGCUUCCCUGGCAUCAGAAACCUGGAGACCCUCUCUGCAGUACUACACACCACAGUGUGAGAAUGCAAGAAAUAGUCUGGGUGUUGUGGUACACACUGGGAAUCCUAGCACAUCAGAAAUGGAGGUAGCAGGAUCAAGAGUUUAAGGAGUCUCCUAAGGCUACAACAGUGUGCUCAAGGUCAGCCUGGACUGCAAGAGAACCUUUCCCAAGACGUCAAUAAAGAUGCCGGAGUCCUUUCUGAA